UACGUAGGGUGCAAGCGUUAAUCGGAAUUACUGGGCGUAAAGCGUGCGCAGGCGGUUUUGUAAGUCUGACGUGAAAUCCCCGGGCUCAACCUGGGAAUUGCGAUGGAGACUGCAGGGCUUGAAUCUGGCAGAGGGGGGUAGAAUUCCACGUGUAGCAGUGAAAUGCGUAGAGAUGUGGAGGAACACCGAUGGCGAAGGCAGCCCCCUGGGUCAAGAUUGACGCUCAUGCACGAAAGCGUGGGGAGCAAACAGG
Molecule: ribosomal RNA, 253 nt
Filed under: uncultured bacterium
Lineage: Bacteria
Description: partial 16S ribosomal RNA
Rfam family: Bacterial small subunit ribosomal RNA
Source: RNAcentral